RNAcentral lists this ribosomal RNA (515 nucleotides) under uncultured bacterium. RNAcentral describes it as "partial 16S ribosomal RNA". It matches the Rfam family "Bacterial small subunit ribosomal RNA", at positions 28 to 523 of the family's 1533-position model. The record is from RNAcentral.
GAUGAACGCUGGCGGCGUGCCUAAUACAUGCAAGUCGAGCGAAUGGAUUAAGAGCUUGCUCUUAUGAAGUUAGCGGCGGACGGGUGGGUAACACGUGGGUAACCUGCCCAUAAGACUGGGAUAACUCCGGGAAACCGGGGCUAAUACCGGAUAACAUUUUGAACCGCAUGGUUCGAAAUUGAAAGGCGGCUUCGGCUGUCACUUAUGGAUGGACCCGCGUCGCAUUAGCUAGUAGGUGAGGUAACGGCUCACCAAGGCAACGAUGCGUAGCCGACCUGAGAGGGGGAUCGGCCACACUGGGACUGAGACACGGCCCAGACUCCUACGGGAGGCAGCAGUAGGGAAUCUUCCGCAAUGGACGAAAGUCUGACGGAGCAACGCCGCGUGAGUGAUGAAGGCUUUCGGGUCGUAAAACUCUGUUGUUAGGGAAGAACAAGUGCUAGUUGAAUAAGCUGGCACCUUGACGGUACCUAACCAGAAAGCCACGGCUAACUACGUGCCAGCAGCCGCCGUAA